RNAcentral lists this unclassified non-coding RNA (1152 nucleotides) under Hevea brasiliensis (rubber tree). Lineage: Eukaryota; Viridiplantae; Streptophyta; Magnoliopsida; Malpighiales; Euphorbiaceae. The record is from RNAcentral.
AACUGCUCAUACAUAAUCCUCAAGGUAAAGUUUCCUUCUGAUAGUUUUUGCAGAAGCUCAGGUUGUUGAUCCAUAGGAACAACCUCAUGAAUUUUGUCCAUGAAUCCAGACCAGUCACCCAUUCCUAACAGGCGACUAACAAAAGGUUUAACAUCAAAAACUUCAAACUCAUCCAUAUGCUCUCCUGUUCCAAUAAAUAUAACAGGACUCUUUGUUGCUGCAACAGCACUAAGAGCACCACCACCCUUUGCAUGACCAUCCAUUUUGGUAACAAUCACAGCUCCAACUGCAACACUUUGCUUAAAUGCUUGAGCUUGAUCAAAUGCGGCUUGACCAAUACUGCUAUCCAUAACAAAUAUAACAAGAUCGGGUUUCGUUGCUUCAGAAACUUGGCGCAUUUCUUCAAAAAGAGCAGCUUCCUGUUUAUGGCGCCCACUGGUAUCAACAAUUAUAAGAUCACAAUUUUCCUUCUUGAAUCUUUCGACUCCUUCCACUGCAAUCUUGACAGGAUCCGAUUCCAUAUAACUUCCAUAAAAUGGUAUCUUAGCUUUGGUGGCAUUCUGCUUUAGCUGAUCAAAAGCACCAGCUCUGAAUGUAUCAGCACAGACUAGAGCAGGUUUCCAACCUUUUUUCUGAUGAUAAUAUGCAUAUUUAGUACAUGUAGUGGUUUUCCCAGACCCUUGUAAACCAACAAACAUAACAACACUUGUUUUCCCUUUCUUCGGAGUAAAAGAUGGCUUCCCCGGAUCCAACAUUUUGCAGAGCUCGUUAAAAAUCGCCUGCUGGAUGAUUUUGCGCUUGUUGUGACCAGCAGCGAGAUCAUCGAGAUUGACAAUCUUCUUGAUAUUAGUCUGCAUGUCGCGGACAAGCUUGAAUUGUACAUCGGAUUGAAGCAGAGCGCGGGUGAUCUCGUUGAGGCAGUCAUUCAAAACCUUCUCGUCGAUGAUUGUGGCAUUGCUCAUCUGCUGGAUUGCCCGGGAUAUGCUCCCUCCCAACUGUGCUAACACCAUUUUCGAAGAUUUGUACAAGAUUCUCACAAUUAGGGUUUCUGAGAGAGAAAUUGGGGAUUAGGUUUUUAUGAAAUUGAUAUAUAAGACUAGAAGAGGGAGGUAGAAAUCCUGGAAUCGAUUAAAAAAGCAACCAGGCGUAUUG